AGGUUAAGUUAACAAGGGCGCAUGGUGAAUGCCUUGGCACUAGGAGCCGAUGAAGGACGGGACUAACACCGAUAUGCUUCGGGGAGCUGUACGUAAGCUAUGAUCCGGAGAUUUCCGAAUGGGGCAACCCAGCAGUUUUAAUCAACUGUUACCACUAGAUGAAUUCAUAGUCUAGUUGGAGGUAAACGCUGUGAACUGAAACAUCUCAUUAGCAGCAGGAAUAUAAAGAAAUUUCGAUUCCCUAAGUAGCGGCGAGCGAACGGGGAACAGCCCAAACCAAAGUGCUUGCACUUUGGGGUUGUAGGACUGAACAUUUGAGUUACCAAAGAACUUGAUAGUCGAAGGAUUUGGGAAAAUCCGCCAUAGAUGGUGAUAGCCCAGUAGAUUAAAUCAAAUUCUCUCAGUUCAGGAUCCUGAGUACGGCGGAACACGUGAAAUUCCGUCGGAAUCCGGGAGGACCAUCUCCCAAGGCUAAAUACUACCUAGUGACCGAUAGUGAACCAGUACCGUGAGGGAAAGGUGAAAAGCACCCCGGGAGGGGAGUGAAAUAGUUCCUGAAACCAUGUGCCUACAAUAAGUCAGAGCGCGUUAAUGCGUGAUGGCGUGCCUUUUGUAGAAUGAACCGGCGAGUUAUGAUCCCGUGCAAGGUUAAGACUAAAAAGUCGGAGCCGUAGCGAAAGCGAGUCUGAAAUGGGCGUUUUGAGUACGAGGUUAUAGACCCGAAACCAGGUGACCUAUCCAUGUCCAGGUUGAAGGUGCGGUAAAACGCACUGGAGGACCGAACCCGUGUAAGUUGAAAAUUGCUGGGAUGAGGUGUGGAUAGCGGUGAAAUUCCAAACGAACUUGGAGAUAGCUGGUUCUCUCCGAAAUAGCUUUAGGGCUAGCCUCGGAAUUAGGAUCAUGGAGGUAGAGCACUAUUUGGACUAGGGGCCCGUCUUGGGUUACUGAAUUCAGAUAAACUCCGAAUGCCAUUGAUUCAUAUCCGGGAGUCAGACGAUGAGUGAUAAGAUCCACCGUCGAAAGGGGAACAGCCCAGACCAUCAGUUAAGGUCCCUAAAUGUAUGCUAAGUGGAAAAGGAUGUGGAGUUGCAUAGACAACUAGGAUGUUGGCUCAGAAGCAGCCACCAUUUAAAGAGUGCGUAAUAGCUCACUAGUCGAGUGAUCCUGCGCCGAAAAUGUACCGGGGCUAAGCAUACUACCGAAACCAUGGAUGCGACCAUUAGGUCGCGUGAUAGGAGAGCGUUCUAAGGGCGGUGAAGCAAGAUCGUGAGGACUUGUGGAGCGCUUAGAAGUGAGAAUGCCGGUAUGAGUAGCGAAAGAUAGGUGAGAAUCCUAUCCACCGAAUGACUAAGGUUUCCUGGGGAAGGCUCGUCCUCCCAGGGUUAGUCGGGACCUAAGUCGAGGCCGAGAGGCGUAGACGAUGGAUAACAGGUUGAGAUUCCUGUACUAGUUAAGUGCGUUUGAGCAAUGGAGGGACGCAGGAGGCUAAGAUGUGCAUUCUGUUGGAUUAGAAUGUCCAAGCAGUAAGUCUUGUGAAGAGUCAAAUGCUUUUCACUUUAAGGACAAGCUGUGAUGGGGAGCGAAAUUUAGUAGCGAAGCGUCUGAUGUCACACUGCCGAGAAAAGCUUCUAGUGAGUACUUAACUACCCGUACCGCAAACCGACACAGGUAGUCGAGGAGAGAAUCCUAAGGUGAGCGAGUGAACUCUCGUUAAGGAACUCGGCAAAAUGACCCCGUAACUUCGGGAGAAGGGGUGCUGAUCGCAAGAUCAGCCGCAGUGAAUAGGCCCAGGCGACUGUUUAUCAAAAACACAGGUCUCUGCAAAAUCGUAAGAUGACGUAUAGGGGCUGACGCCUGCCCGGUGCUGGAAGGUUAAAAGGAUGGGUUAGCUUCGGCGAAGCUCAGAAUUGAAGCCCCAGUAAACGGCGGCCGUAACUAUAACGGUCCUAAGGUAGCGAAAUUCCUUGUCGGGUAAGUUCCGACCCGCACGAAAGGCGUAACGAUCUGGGCACUGUCUCAACGAGAGACUCGGUGAAAUUAUAUUGUCCGUGAAGAUGCGGACUACCCGCGACAGGACGGAAAGACCCCAUGGAGCUUUACUGUAGCUUGAUAUUGAGUGUUUGUACAGCUUGUACAGGAUAGGUAGGAGCCAUAGAAACCGGAACGCUAGUUUCGGUGGAGGCGUUGGUGGGAUACUACCCUCGCUGUAUGACCACUCUAACCCGCACCACUAAUCGUGGUGGGAGACAGUGUCAGGUGGGCAGUUUGACUGGGGCGGUCGCCUCCUAAAAAGUAACGGAGGCGCCCAAAGGUUCCCUCAGAAUGGUUGGAAAUCAUUCGCAGAGUGUAAAGGCACAAGGGAGCUUGACUGCGAGACAGACAGGUCGAGCAGGGACGAAAGUCGGGCUUAGUGAUCCGGUGGUACCGUAUGGAAGGGCCAUCGCUCAACGGAUAAAAGCUACCCUGGGGAUAACAGGCUUAUCUCCCCCAAGAGUCCACAUCGACGGGGAGGUUUGGCACCUCGAUGUCGGCUCAUCGCAUCCUGGGGCUGUAGUCGGUCCCAAGGGUUGGGCUGUUCGCCCAUUAAAGCGGUACGCGAGCUGGGUUCAGAACGUCGUGAGACAGUUCGGUCCCUAUCCGUCGCGGGCGUAGGAAAUUUGAGAGGACCUGUCCUUAGUACGAGAGGACCGGGAUGGACAUACCUCUGGUGUACCAGUUGUGCCGCCAGGCGCAUCGCUGGGUAGCUACGUAUGGAUGUGAUAAACGCUGAAAGCAUCUAAGUGUGAAACACACCUCGAGAUGAGAUUUCCCAUUCCUUUAUGGAAGUAAGACCCCUGAAAGAUGAUCAGGUAGAUAGGUUAGAAGUCGCAGUGCGGUGACGCAUGAAGCGGACUAAUACUAAUCGGUCGAGGACUUAACCAAG
RNAcentral lists this ribosomal RNA (2923 nucleotides) under Lactiplantibacillus plantarum. Its description in RNAcentral is "bacterial LSU rRNA". It matches the Rfam family "Bacterial large subunit ribosomal RNA". Lineage: Bacteria; Bacillati; Bacillota; Bacilli; Lactobacillales; Lactobacillaceae. The record is from RNAcentral.